GACGAACGCUGGCGGCGUGCUUAACACAUGCAAGUCGAACGGAAAGGCCCUGCUUUUGUGGGGUGCUCGAGUGGCGAACGGGUGAGUAACACGUGAGUAACCUGCCCUUGACUUUGGGAUAACUUCAGGAAACUGGGGCUAAUACCGGAUAGGAGCUCCUGCUGCAUGGUGGGGGUUGGAAAGUUUCGGCGGUUGGGGAUGGACUCGCGGCUUAUCAGCUUGUUGGUGGGGUAGUGGCUUACCAAGGCUUUGACGGGUAGCCGGCCUGAGAGGGUGACCGGCCACAUUGGGACUGGAGUACGGCCCAAGCUCCUACGGGGGGGAGGCGGGGGGGAUAUUGGACAAUGGGCGGAAGCCUGAUGCAGCAACGGCGCGGGGGGGAUGGCGGGCUUCGGGUUGUAAACCGCUUUCGCCUGGGACGAAGCGGGAGUGACGGUAAUGGGUAAAGAAGCACCGGCUAACUACGUG
Molecule: ribosomal RNA, 468 nt
Filed under: uncultured bacterium
Lineage: Bacteria
Description: partial 16S ribosomal RNA
Rfam family: Bacterial small subunit ribosomal RNA
Source: RNAcentral